This 282-nucleotide unclassified non-coding RNA is filed under the name Hevea brasiliensis (rubber tree). Lineage: Eukaryota; Viridiplantae; Streptophyta; Magnoliopsida; Malpighiales; Euphorbiaceae. The record is from RNAcentral.
GCUUGUUAUUCCCCAAUUGCAGACCGGAUUAUAUAGAUAAUCUUAGAUGUACGUUUAACAUAGUAUUUACAGAUUCCAUUGAAAAGCAUUUCUGGAUAAGUUUCUCAUUGAUGGAUUUUUCAAGCUUUUGCAAAGUGAUACAGCUACAAACUUCUUAAGUGACUUGAUUAUGUUUUGGUGAUGAGGUUUCAUCUUUUUAUUUUGUUCAGCUUUGAUUAGCUAAGUUUAGUUUUCGUGCAUUUUUUUUUAUCUUUAGUUUAACACAGUAGCAAAGUUGAGAGA